Long non-coding RNA from Sander lucioperca (pikeperch), 121 nucleotides. RefSeq lists it as uncharacterized. NCBI's taxonomy places the organism in Eukaryota, Metazoa, Chordata, Actinopteri, Perciformes, Percidae. The transcript has 3 exons. The record is from RefSeq and is a predicted model, not a curated record.
UUUGUUCGGACUUUCUUAAGUGCUCGUGCACGUCUGUGUGUGGGCGGAGCCCCGAGGGCAGGAGGAGGGGUUAGACGGAGCCCCGAGGAGAUGCUAACUUUGGCCAACAUUACCACCCUAC